RNAcentral lists this ribosomal RNA (420 nucleotides) under uncultured bacterium. RNAcentral's name for it is "bacterial SSU rRNA". It matches the Rfam family "Bacterial small subunit ribosomal RNA", at positions 356 to 773 of the family's 1533-position model. The record is from RNAcentral.
GGGGAAUAUUGGACAAUGGGGGCAACCCUGAUCCAGCGACGCCGCGUGGGUGAUGAAGGCCUUCGGGUCGUAAAGCCCUGUUGGGGGGGACGAAACAGCGGAAUAAUAACCCGCCUUGACUUAACCCCCUGAGGAAGCACCGGCUAACUCUGUGCCAGCAGCCGCGGUAAUACAGAGGGUGCAAGUGUUGUUCGGAAUCAUUGGGCGUAAAGGGCGCGUAGGUGGUCCGGUAAGUCAGAUGUGAAAGCCCUGGGCUUAACCCAGGAACUGCAUUUGAGACUGCCGGACUAGAGUUCAGUAGAGGAUAGUGGAAUUCCCGGUGUAGAGGUGAAAUUCGUAGAGAUCGGGAGGAACACCAGUGGCGAAAGCGGCUAUCUGGGCUGCAACUGACACUGAGGCGCGAAAGCGUGGGGAGCAAAC